This 796-nucleotide ribosomal RNA is filed under the name uncultured marine thaumarchaeote. RNAcentral's name for it is "bacterial SSU rRNA". It matches the Rfam family "Archaeal small subunit ribosomal RNA", at positions 82 to 879 of the family's 1478-position model. The record is from RNAcentral. Lineage: Archaea; Thermoproteati; Nitrososphaerota.
ACGGCUGCUCAGUAACACGUAGUCAACCUAACCUAUGGACGGGAAUAACCUCGGGAAACUGAGAAUAAUGCCCGAUAGAACACUAUACCUGGAAUGGUUUGUGUUCCAAAUGAUUUAUCGCCGUAGGAUGGGACUGCGGCCUAUCAGUUUGUUGGUGAGGUAAUGGCCCACCAAGACUAUUACAGGUACGGGCUCUGAGAGGAGUAGCCCGGAGAUGGGUACUGAGACACGGACCCAGGCCCUAUGGGGCGCAGCAGGCGAGAAAACUUUGCAAUGUGCGAAAGCACGACAAGGUUAAUCCGAGUGGUUUCUGCUAAAGGAACCUUUUGUUAGUCCUAGAAACACUAACGAAUAAGGGGUGGGCAAGUUCUGGUGUCAGCCGCCGCGGUAAAACCAGCACCUCAAGUGGUCAGGAUGAUUAUUGGGCCUAAAGCAUCCGUAGCCGGCUCUGUAAGUUUUCGGUUAAAUCUGUACGCUCAACGUACAGGCUGCCGGGAAUACUGCAGAGCUAGGGAGUGGGAGAGGUAGACGGUACUCGGGAGGAAGUGGUAAAAUGCUUUGAUCUCUCGAUGACCACCUGUGGCGAAGGCGGUCUACCAGAACACGUCCGACGGUGAGGGAUGAAAGCUGGGGGAGCAAACCGGAUUAGAUACCCGGGUAGUCCCAGCUGUAAACUAUGCAAACUCAGUGAUGCAUUGGCUUGUGGCCAAUGCAGUAUUGCAGGGAAGCCGUUAAGUUUGCCGCCUGGGAGGUACGUACGCAAGUAUGAAACUUAAAGGAAUUGGCGGGGGAGCAG